RNAcentral lists this ribosomal RNA (301 nucleotides) under uncultured bacterium. RNAcentral's name for it is "partial 16S ribosomal RNA". It matches the Rfam family "Bacterial small subunit ribosomal RNA", at positions 509 to 809 of the family's 1533-position model. The record is from RNAcentral.
CAGUAGCCGCGGGAAUGCGGAGGGUGCAAGCGUUAAUCGGAAUUACUGGGCGUAAAGCGCACGCAGGCGGUCUGACAAGUCAGAUGUGAAAUCCCCGGGCUUAACCUGGGAACUGCAUUUGAAACUGUCAGGCUGGAGUCUUGUAGAGGGGGGUGGAAUUCCAGGUGUAGCGGUGAAAUGCGUAGAGAUCUGGAGGAAUACCGGUGGCGAAGGCGGCCCCCUGGACAAAGACUGACGCUCAGGUGCGAAAGCGUGGGGAGCAAACAGGAUUAGAUACCCCUGUAGUCCCUGUCUCUUAUAU